GACGAACGCUGGCGGCGUGCUUAACACAUGCAAGUCAAGGGGGCCCGCAAGGGCAACCGGCGAACGGGUGCGUAACACGUGAGCAACCUGCCUUGUUGCGGGGGAUAGCCGGCCCAACGGCCGGGUAAUACCGCAUACGUUCAUGGAGCGGAGUCGCUCUGUGAGGAAACUUCCGGGGCAACAAGAGGGGCUCGCGGCCUAUCAGCUAGUUGGCGGGGUAACGGCCACCAAGGCGACGACGGGUAGCUGGUCUGAGAGGAUGGCCAGCCACAUUGGGACUGAGAGACGGCCCAGACUCCUACGGGAGGCAGCAGUGGGGAAUCUUGCGCAAUGGCCGAAAGGCUGACGCAGCGACGCCGCGUGUGGGAGGACGCCCUUCGGGGUGUAAACCACUGUUGCCCGGGACGAAUGACCCUUUCGAGGGGAGUGACGGUACCGGGUGAGGAAGCACCGGCUAACUCCGUGCCAGCCGCCGCCGUA
RNAcentral lists this ribosomal RNA (480 nucleotides) under uncultured bacterium. RNAcentral describes it as "bacterial SSU rRNA". It matches the Rfam family "Bacterial small subunit ribosomal RNA", at positions 28 to 522 of the family's 1533-position model. The record is from RNAcentral.